GACGAACGCUGGCGGCGUGCCUAAUACAUGCAAGUAGAACGCUGAAGGAGGAGCUUGCUUCUCUGGAUGAGUUGCGAACGGGUGAGUAACGCGUAGGUAACCUGCCUGGUAGCGGGGGAUAACUAUUGGAAACGAUAGCUAAUACCGCAUAAGAGUAGAUGUUGCAUGACAUUUGCUUAAAAGGUGCAAUUGCAUCACUACCAGAUGGACCUGCGUUGUAUUAGCUAGUUGGUGAGGUAACGGCUCACCAAGGCAACGAUACAUAGCCGACCUGAGAGGGUGAUCGGCCACACUGGGACUGAGAAACGGCCCAGACUCCUACGGGAGGCAGCAGUAGGGAAUCUUCGGCAAUGGACGGAAGUCUGACCGAGCAACGCCGCGUGAGUGAAGAAGGUUUUCGGAUCGUAAAGCUCUGUUGUAAGAGAAGAACGAGUGUGAGAGUGGAAAGUUCACACUGUGACGGUAUCUUACCAGAAAGGGACGGCUAACUACGUG
RNAcentral lists this ribosomal RNA (495 nucleotides) under uncultured bacterium. RNAcentral's name for it is "partial 16S ribosomal RNA". It matches the Rfam family "Bacterial small subunit ribosomal RNA", at positions 28 to 507 of the family's 1533-position model. The record is from RNAcentral.